GCAGGUACGGGCAGGUGGAGUGGAGGGCUUUGGGCUUGAAGCAGCUCUGGUGUUAAAUGCCCCUUUAUGGGCUCCUGCUUACUCUC
RNAcentral lists this microRNA precursor (86 nucleotides) under Mesocricetus auratus (golden hamster). RNAcentral's name for it is "miRNA (ENSMAUG00000002589.1)". The record is from RNAcentral. Lineage: Eukaryota; Metazoa; Chordata; Mammalia; Rodentia; Cricetidae.